GUGCUUCAGGGAUAGCAAGUCCCCUCAUAUUAAUCCAUCUAAAUCACUUUGUCAGCUGUCUCUUUGUUGUCUUGCUGAUCAUUAUAGGGUGGUACAUAC
Small nucleolar RNA from Quercus robur (English oak), 99 nucleotides. RefSeq annotates it as small nucleolar RNA snoR99. NCBI's taxonomy places the organism in Eukaryota, Viridiplantae, Streptophyta, Magnoliopsida, Fagales, Fagaceae. The record is from RefSeq and is a predicted model, not a curated record. The transcript has a single exon.